This 1107-nucleotide ribosomal RNA is filed under the name Starmerella bombicola. RNAcentral's name for it is "SSU rRNA". It matches the Rfam family "Eukaryotic small subunit ribosomal RNA", at positions 610 to 1763 of the family's 1831-position model. The record is from RNAcentral. Lineage: Eukaryota; Fungi; Ascomycota; Dipodascomycetes; Dipodascales; Trichomonascaceae.
UUGUUGCAGUUAAAAGCUCGUAGUUGAACCUCGCCGCCGGCUCCGGGUCCCCCGAAAGGGGUGUACUCGGCGCUUGCGGCUUUGCCCUACUAGUGUGUGCGUUCGCGUGCACUCAUAGGGGGCGUUUACUGUGAGAAAAUUAGAGUGUUCAAAGCAGGCGUUUCGCUCGUAUACGUUAGCAUGGAAUAAUAGAAUAGGACGAGGGUUCUAUUUUGUUGGUUCUAGGACCGUCGUAAUGAUUAAUAGGGAUGGUCGGGGGCAUCAGUAUUCAGUAGUAAGAGGUGAAAUUCUUGGAUUUACUGAAGACUAACUGCUGCGAAAGCGUUUGCCAAGGACAUCUUCAUUAAUCAAGAACGAAAGUUAGGGGAUCGAAGACGCUUAGAUACCGUCGUAGUCUUAACCGUAAACUAUGCCGACUCUGAAUCGGCCCCUUUAUAUUCAUGGGGGGUCGGCGCAGUGUGAGAAAUCAAAGUUUUUAGGUUCUGGGGGGAGUAUGGUCGCAAGGCUGAAACUUAAAGGAAUUGACGGAAGGGCACCACCAGGAGUGGAGCCUGCGGCUUAAUUUGACUCAACACGGGGAAACUCACCAGGUCCAGACUUCUGUAGGAUUGACGCAUUGGCGAUGCUUCAUGAUUAGAAGGGUGGUGGUGCAUGGCCGUUCUUAGUUCGUGACGUAAGUUGUCUGCUUUAUUGCGAUAACGAGCGAGACCUCGGCCGCUAGUUGCCGGAGCCCACAUUUUGUGGGUUUCCGGCUCUUAGCGGGACUACCGGAGACAAUUCGGGGGAGGUUCGAGGCAAUAACAGGUCUGUGAUGCCCUUAGACGUUCUGGGCCGCACGCGCGCUACACUGACGCAGCCAGCGAGUUUAAACCUUUUCCGAAAGGAAUGGGUAAUCUUGUUAAACUGCGUCGUGCUGGGGAUAGAGCUUUGCAAUUUUUGCUCUUGAACGAGGAAUUCCUAGUAAGCGCAAGUCAUCAACUUGCGUUGAUUACGUCCCUGCCCUUUGUACACACCGCCCGUCGUUACUACCGAUUGAAUGGCUUAGUGAGAUCCUAGGAGAGUUUGUGCAUGAGGGCAACCUCUAGCGCGAGUUCAAAUUCGAUCAAA